Nannospalax galili (Upper Galilee mountains blind mole rat) is the source of this 274-nucleotide long non-coding RNA. RefSeq lists it as uncharacterized. Lineage: Eukaryota; Metazoa; Chordata; Mammalia; Rodentia; Spalacidae. The transcript has 3 exons. The record is from RefSeq and is a predicted model, not a curated record.
CUACAAAGGGGGUGUUGUGCUGGGAUGUUACUUCGGGCCUGCUGCACUCUACAUCUGGGCAGUGGGGAUCCUGGCUGCAGGACAGAGCUCCACCAUGACAGGAACCUAUUCUGGCCAGUUUGUCAUGGAGGGAUUCCUGAACCUCAAGUGGUCACGUUUUGCCCGGGUGAUUCUGACACGCUCUAUUGCCAUCAUCCCCACUCUGCUUGUUGCUGUCUUCCAAGAUGUGGAGCAUUUAACAGGGAUGAAUGACUUCCUGAAUGUUCUGCAGAGC